GAUGAACGCUGGCGGCGUGCCUAAUACAUGCAAGUCGAGCGAACGGACGAGAAGCUUGCUUCUCUGAUGUUAGCGGCGGACGGGUGAGUAACACGUGGAUAACCUACCUAUAAGACUGGGAUAACUUCGGGAAACCGGAGCUAAUACCGGAUGAUAUUUUGAACCGCAUGGUUCAAAAGUGAAAGACGGUCUUGCUGUCACUUAUAGAUGGAUCCGCGCUGCAUUAGCUAGUUGGUAAGGUAACGGCUUACCAAGGCAACGAUGCAUAGCCGACCUGAGAGGGUGAUCGGCCACACUGGAACUGAGACACGGUCCAGACUCCUACGGGAGGCAGCAGUAGGGAAUCUUCCGCAAUGGGCGAAAGCCUGACGGAGCAACGCCGCGUGAGUGAUGAAGGUAUUCGGAUCGUAAAACUCUGUUAUUAGGGAAGAACAUAUGUGUAAGUAACUGUGCACAUCUUGACGGUACCUAACCAGAAAGCCACGGCUAACUACGUG
Molecule: ribosomal RNA, 497 nt
Filed under: uncultured bacterium
Lineage: Bacteria
Description: partial 16S ribosomal RNA
Rfam family: Bacterial small subunit ribosomal RNA
Source: RNAcentral